AACCUGUAAUGGGGUUAUGGUGAGUGAAGCUGGCAGUGUACUCUUGAGGCUCUCCAGUAGAGGGAGGUAGUGCACUACAAAUGUCUUAAGGCUUGCAGGCUUUGGUUUAAGUCUCGUGAGACUUUGUUUAACUCUCGUUUGGUUAGAAGCGUGCAGCCGCCAUUUUUAAAAGGCUCGUGGGCUCUUGCCCAGCGAUCUUUUUGGCUCACUGCCAGGGAUAUGUGCAGGUAGCACGGAGGGCUGAAACUUCAGAGCAGCGUUUUUGGUACUUCAUUCGGUUGGUUUGGAGUGUGGUAGGGCUGGAGAAGUCAGCCGUUGUGCACCAGUGAAUCCGGUACACAUUGUGGGAGUCCAGAUACAGUGUGGAAUAAGAGCCUAUUUUGUAGUGAACUGCAGCCCUGUGUAUGCCGGUGAGCCAGUGUGCAUUGUGGAAGUCCAGAUACAGGUAUCUGAUGUUUCUGUUUAUUAUUUUGUGAGCUGCAGGUAAAAUUAAAUCAUACAGCAUGCUUAUUUGGCUGUUUUUGUUUUAAAGCAGUAACAUCCAGUAGUGGACAGCAGUAACAAGGGAAGUGGAGCCCUUCCAAGGCAGAGAUAUAGAAUGUUUAGAAUAUAGGUAGGUUCAUGUUUUAAAUUAGUUUUAAUGAAAGAAAAGUUUUAGAGCUGUAAAGUGCUAAUGGUGUGCUUUCUCCUCUUUAGGAGUAUCCCUGGCCAGUGAAAAUUAAUUAUUGUUCUUUCCUUCCCCUUGAAACUUUUAAUAGUAAUAUAUAUUAAAGAUUGGGUUUUAAAGGUAUCAAACGUUAAUUGAUUUGAGUGCCAAUUCUGUUUUAAAUUAAAAUUGCAUCACAUUCAAUUGAACCAGUUGGACAGUGUGGGGCCUGGUGGGAGGUGGUAUUAUUAUAAUCUCGUGUUAACUAAGCUGAGGUACAAGUCGUGAGGGUUCUCUUUUGGGGUGGAGUGUGUUUUCUUUAAGUUAAUUUUGAAUUUGUUUGAUUUUGAGUUUGUUGUGUUAUUUAUUUUAUUUAUAUUAUUUUUUUUGAAGUAUUUGGUUAUAAUUGAGCCCUUAAAACUCUUGUAAAUUCUUGCUUAUUUUCUGUUGUGGUAUUAUACUACUAGUUUUCCCACGUUCAAGCUACCAGGCAAUUAAUUCCUUUAUUAACACUGCCAAUUGUGGAUUUGGGUCAAUUCAUGUGAGCAAACGAGUUGUUGUUUUUUUUAAGAUUUUCUAAUAAAGACACAUUGUGAAACUUCA
This is a long non-coding RNA of Astyanax mexicanus (Mexican tetra), 1249 nucleotides long. RefSeq lists it as uncharacterized. NCBI's taxonomy places the organism in Eukaryota, Metazoa, Chordata, Actinopteri, Characiformes, Acestrorhamphidae. The transcript is spliced from 2 exons. The record is from RefSeq and is a predicted model, not a curated record.